This 525-nucleotide ribosomal RNA is filed under the name uncultured bacterium. Its description in RNAcentral is "bacterial SSU rRNA". It matches the Rfam family "Bacterial small subunit ribosomal RNA", at positions 355 to 895 of the family's 1533-position model. The record is from RNAcentral.
UUAGGAAUUUUGGGCAAUGGGCGAAAGCCUGACCCAGCAACGCCGCGUGGGUGACGAAGGCCUUCGGGUUGUAAAGCCCUUUUCUGGGGGAAGAUGAUGACGGUACCCCAGGAAGAAGCACCGGCUAACUACGUGCCAGCAGCCGCGGUAAUACGUAGGGUGCAAGCGUUGCCCGGAUUUAUUGGGCGUAAAGGGCGCGUAGGCGGCUCGGCACGUCCGUUGUGAAAUCGCCCGGCUCAACUGGGCGGGGUCAGCGGAUACGGUCGAGCUUGAGCAAGCUAGGGGGCAAUGGAAUUCCCGGUGUAGUGGUGGAAUGCGUAGAUAUCGGGAGGAACACCAGUGGCGAAGGCGGUUGCCUGGGGCUUUGCUGACGCUGAUGCGCGAAAGCGUGGGGAGCGAUCCGGAUUAGAUACCCGGGUAGUCCACGCCGUAAACGAUGCGGACUAGGUGUCGGGGGUAUCGGACCCCUCGGCGCCGCAGCUAACGCAUUAAGUCCGCCGCCGUGGGGACUACGGCCGCAAGGCU